CGUUGCGCAUGACUUACCAUGCAGUCGAACGGCAGCACGGGUGCUUGCACCUGGUGGCGAGUGGCGAACGGGUGAGUAAUACAUCGGAAUGUACCUUGUAGUGGGGGAUAGCUCGGCGAAAGCCGGAUUAAUACCGCAUACGCUCUGAGGAGGAAAGCGGGGGACCUUCGGGCCUCGUGCUACAAGAGCAGCCGAUGUCAGAUUAGCUAGUUGGUGGGGUAAAAGCUCACCAAGGCGACGAUCUGUAGCUGGUCUGAGAGGACGACCAGCCACACUGGGACUGAGACACGGCCCAGACUCCUACGGGAGGCAGCAGUGGGGAAUUUUGGACAAUGGGCGAAAGCCUGAUCCAGCAAUGCCGCGUGUGUGAAGAAGGCCUUCGGGUUGUAAAGCACUUUUGUCCGGAAAGAAAUCCUUUGGGUUAAUACCUCGGGGGGAUGACGGUACCGGAAGAAUAAGCACCGGCUAACUACGUGCCAGCAGCGACGGUAAUA
This 494-nucleotide ribosomal RNA is filed under the name Pandoraea sp. HE109A. RNAcentral describes it as "bacterial SSU rRNA". It matches the Rfam family "Bacterial small subunit ribosomal RNA", at positions 37 to 525 of the family's 1533-position model. The record is from RNAcentral. Lineage: Bacteria; Pseudomonadati; Pseudomonadota; Betaproteobacteria; Burkholderiales; Burkholderiaceae.